RNAcentral lists this ribosomal RNA (491 nucleotides) under uncultured bacterium. RNAcentral describes it as "partial 16S ribosomal RNA". It matches the Rfam family "Bacterial small subunit ribosomal RNA", at positions 29 to 507 of the family's 1533-position model. The record is from RNAcentral.
AGUGAACGCUGGCGGUAGGCCUAACACAUGCAAGUCGAACGGCAGCACAGUAAGAGCUUGCUCUUACGGGUGGCGAGUGGCGGACGGGUGAGGAAUACAUCGGAAUCUACUUUUUCGUGGGGGAUAACGUAGGGAAACUUACGCUAAUACCGCAUACGACCUACGGGUGAAGGCAGGGGAUCUUCGGACCUUGCGCGAUUGAAUGAGCCGAUGUCGGAUUAGCUAGUUGGCGGGGUAAAGGCCCACCAAGGCGACGAUCCGUAGCUGGUCUGAGAGGAUGAUAGGCCAACUUGGACCUAGGACAGGGUCCAGCCCCCAAGGGGAGGAGGAGUGGGGAAAUAUGGGAAAUGGGCGCAAACCCUGUCCAGCCCUACCGGCGUGGGUGAGGAAGGCUUCCGGGUUGUAAAGCCUUUUUGUUGGGAAGAAAAACAACAGGUUUAAUCCCCGGUUGUCUUGCGGUACCCAAAAAAAUAAGACCGGCUAACUUCGGG